AGCGCACCCGGGGUGGGGAGGGUGUCGUGGCAGGCAGGGAGCCGCCGGGACCGCCGCGGGAGGGAUGCCACGCCGCUGGUCCUGGCUUUUCCCUUUGGGAACUCCGCUCAGGUGUCUCCCAGCACCCUGCCCCGGGCAGGGGGUCCCCCUUGCCCUGCCAGCUCUCCGCAGGAACUUCUCCCGCUGAACUGGAGGAUGCUGCAAGCUCCUGCGGACGAGCCGGAGGAGUCCUGUGGCAAAGUCAAGGCGAGCAGAGAAGCAGCGUGCUUCCCGGGUGUCACCGCAGCUCGCUGCCGCCAGCCCAGCCUGCUGCGGCCGGUGUCACCUCCAGGACCGAGCUGCUCCUGGUAGAGAACACGGGGGGCUGCCCCGGCCGGGGACUCACAGCCGCUCUGUGGAUAUGGAGAAUUCAUGGAAGAGGGGCUCCUCCAGACCACAGCUCCCUGGGACCGGGAUUAGAGCAGAUUGAUCGCAGCUCUCGCUCCUGCCCAGCCCACCAUGGUUCCCGUGGCAUGCUUCGCACUAUUCGUCAUAGGAAUUGCAAUUGUAGGUGAGCGCCAGGCACGGGGCAAGCAGCACCUGGCUUUGCUGGUUGUGCUGCUGAGAAGAAAGGGGCAGCUCUGGCUGCUGCCUGGAAUUCU
RNAcentral lists this long non-coding RNA (641 nucleotides) under Chloebia gouldiae (Gouldian finch). RNAcentral describes it as "Erythrura gouldiae (Gouldian finch) lncRNA (ENSEGOG00005019159.1)". Lineage: Eukaryota; Metazoa; Chordata; Aves; Passeriformes; Passeridae. The record is from RNAcentral.